Molecule: long non-coding RNA, 665 nt
Filed under: Heterocephalus glaber (naked mole-rat)
Lineage: Eukaryota; Metazoa; Chordata; Mammalia; Rodentia; Bathyergidae
Description: lncRNA (ENSHGLG00000032108.1)
Source: RNAcentral
CACAAAGUGUGGCUUAUCCACGCAGAAUUAGAAGGAGUGGAUCACUGCUUGGGGGAAGUCCACCUUGUGCUUGAUUUCCCAGAGCUCUCAGGACUUAGCCGGGGCAGCUGAGCAGACGGGAGCUCACUCGGUGGGGAGCAGGAUGGGCGCAUGGUGCUCUGGUGUCCCCAGGUGGGCACUCGGGGCCUGACCACUGCCCAGCUGUGCAGGAGAGCUCAGCCCGGGACCCGGGGCUCUGCAAAAGUCUCCAUCCUUGCUAAAACUGCUGCCAAAUGUGUGGCUUCCACCAGAAGCGAGAAGAAAUCUCCACGUUGGUUCUUCCAGGAACAGAAAUGGCUCGGUGAACACCUCGUCUCUCGGAGCUCCAGCUCAGAGUCCGCUGCCUGCUUCUGUCCACCUGCUCUCGUGGGUUGCAUUUGAAAUGGCAGUGCAAGGAAAUUUUGAAACAAGAAAAUCCAGUUUAAAGCUGGGCGUGGUGAUGCACACCUGUAAUUCCAGCACUCAGGAGGCUGAGGCAGGAGGAUUGCUGCAAGUUCAAGGCUGGGACUCUGGGCCGUGGCCGCCAGGUGCUCCGCCCACCCCGCUGAGUGGCUGAGGAAGCGGGAUGGGCCCGCCACCGCCAGCAGGACAUGAGCUGAGGCAGGCGGUGAGGACGCAGCGUUGGG